This is a non-coding RNA of Enterobius vermicularis (human pinworm), 70 nucleotides long. The record is from Rfam. Lineage: Eukaryota; Metazoa; Nematoda; Chromadorea; Rhabditida; Oxyuridae.
AUGUGGUGAAAGACAUGGGUAGUGAGACGCUUUUUAUAGGUCGUGUCACUAUUCUGUUUUUCGCCUCAUU